This 253-nucleotide ribosomal RNA is filed under the name uncultured bacterium. Its description in RNAcentral is "partial 16S ribosomal RNA". It matches the Rfam family "Bacterial small subunit ribosomal RNA", at positions 524 to 776 of the family's 1533-position model. The record is from RNAcentral.
UACGUAGGUGGCAAGCGUUGUCCGGAUUUACUGGGCGUAAAGAGCGCGCAGGCGGUCGGAUAAGUCGAAUGUGAAAGCCCCCGGCUCAACUGGGGAGGGUCAUUCGAUACUGUUCGACUCGAAGGCAGGAGAGGGAAGUGGAAUUCCCGGUGUAGUGGUGAAAUGCGUAGAUAUCGGGAGGAACACCAGUGGCGAAGGCGGCAUCCUGGACCGGCAUUGACGCUGAGGCGCGAAAGCCAGGGGAGCAAACGGG